RNAcentral lists this transfer RNA (71 nucleotides) under Loxodonta africana (African savanna elephant). It matches the Rfam family "tRNA". Rfam says of the family: Transfer RNA (tRNA) molecules are approximately 80 nucleotides in length. Their secondary structure includes four short double-helical elements and three loops (D, anti-codon, and T loops). Lineage: Eukaryota; Metazoa; Chordata; Mammalia; Proboscidea; Elephantidae. The record is from Rfam by way of RNAcentral.
GCACUGGUGGUUCGAUGGUAGAAUUCUCAUCUUCCAUGUGGGAGACCCAGGUUCGAUUCCCAGACAAUGUA